Molecule: ribosomal RNA, 253 nt
Filed under: uncultured bacterium
Lineage: Bacteria
Description: partial 16S ribosomal RNA
Rfam family: Bacterial small subunit ribosomal RNA
Source: RNAcentral
GACAGAGGGUGCAAACGUUGUUCGGAAUUACUGGGCGUAAAGCGCGUGUAGGCUGCUUCGCAAGUCGGAUGUGAAAGCCCUGGGCUCAACCCAGGAAGUGCAUUCGAAACUGCAGAGCUGGAGUCCUGGAGAGGAAGGCGGCAUUCUCGGUGUAGAGGUGAAAUUCGUAGAUAUCGAGAGGAACACCGGUGGCGAAGGCGGCCUUCUGGACAGUGACUGACGCUGAGACGCGAAAGCGUGGGGAGCAAACAGG